This is a long non-coding RNA of Amphibalanus amphitrite, 3016 nucleotides long. RefSeq lists it as uncharacterized. Lineage: Eukaryota; Metazoa; Arthropoda; Thecostraca; Balanomorpha; Balanidae. The record is from RefSeq and is a predicted model, not a curated record. The transcript has 3 exons.
CAAAAUAUUCUGUAGUAACUAUUAAAUUCCGGCCGAAAACAGUGCACGGUUUAAAAAAGAAUCAUUCCAAUGACGGUCCAUUCUUGCGGUCCUGAAAUCGCCACUAUUUCCGGCCUCUCCAACGCAACUCGUUGUCCAGACGUAAAUAUGCCAACUGCCGACCAUUAGCGUUACCAUAUUCUAGUUUGAACUAAAGUUUUGCUAGUCCCGACCACAUAUAGUAGGUUUUCUAGUAGAUAUACUAGAAAUGCCUACCAAAGUUCGUCCUACCCGUCACUCAAUAUACCCUGAUCCCUUUCGGCCCUUUUUUGAUGACCGUCCACAAGUGUCCGGUCUUAUUUGGCUAACUUAUGUUUCAGCCUGCCUGCUGUCGUGGAGCUGACGAGAAAUGCCAUUGGCACGACUUGGCAGCUGCAGGCUGUUCUUUCGGCACUUCCGGCUUCUUCAUCAGCCUGCUCGAGUGCGAUAGCAGCUCGUUGAUUUUCGGGCUCUUUCGGUUCUUCAUAUCGGCCUGCCCGAUUUCUUAGCAACUCCUGCAGAACUGAUUUUCGGCCUUGUUGGUUUCAGUCUCAUCUUUCGGCUCAUUUCAAUAUAUCUACUUUUUGUUCAUGUCUGUGUGCUGGUGGAAUGGAUAGUGUUAGAAGAAGAGGAAACACACACAUACCUACAUCGAUCUUGUUUUCAGUGCAGUAGUUAAUACCCCUAGACAACACAUAGAGUAAUAUAGUGAAGGACACAAUCCCCUAGACAUACCGGUUAAAUUAUAGCACUAUGUCAAACAUAUCCUCAUUUCAUAUUUAAAAACAUUUCAGCUUUUGAAAAGUUACAGUGCGCCAGACUGCAAACGCGUCAACACAGUCAGCAAGCCGCACAAGCUGGGGCGACAUGUCUGCUUCAGUCCUCUGAAAAUCUGCAACCUAUAUCAGCUGCACUGACUAGCAAGACCUACAUUUUUACCACAAGCUUUAUAUAUCUUCGCUGUUGAUAGGAAAUGCUGCAAUAUAAGACUUAAAAUUUAAGUCACAUGCUGACUUGCAGUCAGUGACUGCGUUAUGCCUCUGAAGACUGACUAUCUGUUCACCAUUUUCUUUGAGUAGAUAUGAUAUGCUAGUGCAGCAGAUCUGCAUUGUAUGAUGUUAUGGCCAGCAAUGCUCAACACAAAAAUGUUUACCUUUCUGCUGCAAAUCUAAGCCACCCUGUGCAGCUGAUGAGCACCUCUGCACUGGCAAUAUGUUAUCGGCAUUGCCGUAUGGGCUGUGGUUGGUGCCUUAAAAACAAUGGUCUACAUGUGAAAUUCCAAAAUUGUGAACCAUUUUAUAGCCUUACAGAUAUUGCAAUGUUUCUCUUGCCAUCUAAAUGGUUUGAAAUACCUAAGUCUUCAUUGACCUGGGUUUUAUGAGCAAAGAUGGUAAAUAAAUGCAUAUUUCGAACUGAGUACAGCGGUGAGCGAGUACUGAGUAGGAAAAUCCUUUCCUGAUGCGUAGUUACUUGGUUAUGUAGCCCAGGUAAUUUACUCAAGAAAAUGAUCAAUUAUUGUCUCUAUCUUUCAGGUUCAGUUACAUGUGCAACUCACAAGUGCUCAAAAAGGCUGCAAGAUGCCUAGCUAGCAACUGCUCCAACCAGUUUGAAGGAAGAAGGGGUGUGUUUCUCCACAGGUUUCCUCAAGGACAAGACCCAGGUGUGUACAGCGAAAGGACUGGCACAUUCAGGUGAAGAUGGACUGGUGGCAACAUGUGUGGGAAGGGGGCAAGCUUGGUCAUGCGGCACACUUCAUGAUGAGGGCUCCUUCGAUUGCACAGACCAGUUUGGCUGUGCUAUGGUGCAGUCCCAUCAGGUCUUUCUUCCCUGCUCACCUGCAGGACCAUUUCAAUAGCUGCCAGAGCAGCGGGGGCUGAAGCAAAGGCUAGAGGAAGCUGCGACUAGGACGUUGGCCUAUUCCAAGCAGUCUCGAAACGCACACAAGAACGGGAAAAUGUUGAUCCGGACAGCACGCCCCAGGGAGAGUCACUCGUCAGAGGCGGUCUCGACGGGCAGGCCGGGCGGUGCCCAGGGAGCAGCGUCACCCGUCUGUGGCUGCCCCGAUGGGCAGGCCGGGCGGCACUCCGGCAGCAGCUGCAUCCGUCUGUAGCGGCCCCGACAGCAGGCCGGGCGGCACCUUGGGAGCAGUGGCACACGCUUAUGUGUGGGGUGGGGUGACCCCGACGGCAGACCGGGCAACAGAGGCAGUCUACAGGGAAUAGCGGCACCCGUCUAUGGUGGCCCCGACGGCAGGUCGGACACCGAGGCGGCUCCCAGGGAGCAGCUGCACCCGUCUGUGGCGGCAUCGACGGCAGGACGGGCGGUGCUGAUGUCGUAGCGUCUAGUUUGCUGAUAAACGUUAGCGAUAUAGGCAUUAUCCUAGUCACCAUGCUCAGGCGCGUCGAUGAUAUGCUUGUGCUAGGAUAAGUUCAUCCUAGAAUUCUGACCUUACGUCACGUUGAUCUAAGAGGGCCGUAUAACUCAUUUCGAUUUUGACGGUCUUCAGUCCAUUGGUGACUGUCCCGACUCGCCAGCUCAAUUUAAUCGAAUGAUUUACCUAAAACUCCGACUCUGGCUUUGUGACGUAAUCUUUGUCGCUAAAGUAAACGGUGCAAAAGUUAAAAAUUGGUUUACAAGAUGUGUUUUAUCUCAUGGUUUCGUGCGUUUGCAUAAUCUUCAAUCAUUUUCGGCACCAAUAUAGCAGUUACCACCUUUUCCCAUUGACUUGUGACGGCGAUGUCACGUGACUGACCUGACCUCAGGUGACCAUCAGGAAAAAUAUUAGAUAUACAAGCUAUAAGGCCUCUGGAGGGUACAAGGUUAUGUUAGUUUGAUCUCCCUGUGAAAGCUCCUCUGGCACUGAAGGCAUUGCGAAGUUGCGGCAUGUCAUGACCGCGCGGUGGCUCUAUUAUGACGUCAUAGGUCAGUGACCGGGCAUGACCUGAAAGGGUGAUUAAUGUCAUAAGAUCCGGAUUUAAUGAAAGGUCAGUUGUACCAA